This 383-nucleotide unclassified non-coding RNA is filed under the name soil metagenome. RNAcentral's name for it is "partial contains 5.8S ribosomal RNA, internal transcribed spacer 2, and large subunit ribosomal RNA". The stretch from base 1 to 120 matches the Rfam family "5.8S ribosomal RNA", at positions 35 to 154 of the family's 154-position model. The record is from RNAcentral.
GAUGAAGAGCGCAGUGAAAUGCGAUAAGUAAUGUGAAUUGCAGAAUUCAGUGAAUCAUCGAAUCUUUGAACGCACCUUGCGCUCCUUGGUAUUCCGAGGAGCAUGCCUGUUUGAGUGUCAUGAAAUUCUCAACCUUUCUGGCUUUUGCUAGUCAGGCUUGGAUUAUGGGAGCUGCUGGCUUUUGAAGUCGGCUCUUCUAAAAUGUAUUAGCAAGAUCAUUGCUGCUCAUCAUUGGUAUGAUAAUUAUCUAUAUCAUUGAGAGUCAGUUUCCUUUAUUGGAAGAUUUUGCUCCUAACGGUCUUUAGCAAGACAACAUUUGACGAUUUUGACCUCAAAUCAGGUAGGACUACCCGCUGAACUUAAGCAUAUCAAUAAGCGGAGGA